Molecule: small nuclear RNA, 163 nt
Filed under: Echinops telfairi (small Madagascar hedgehog)
Lineage: Eukaryota; Metazoa; Chordata; Mammalia; Afrosoricida; Tenrecidae
Description: U1 spliceosomal RNA (ENSETEG00000023612.1)
Rfam family: U1 spliceosomal RNA
About the family: U1 is a small nuclear RNA (snRNA) component of the spliceosome (involved in pre-mRNA splicing). Its 5' end forms complementary base pairs with the 5' splice junction, thus defining the 5' donor site of an intron. There are significant differences in sequence and secondary structure between metazoan and yeast U1 snRNAs, the latter being much longer (568 nucleotides as compared to 164 nucleotides in human).
Source: RNAcentral
GAACAUUGAAACCAGGGGAGACCCCAUGAUCACAGAGGUGGUUUUCCCAGGAUGAGAUGUGUCCAUUGCCCUCAGGAUGGGCUGACUCCUGAAACUUCCCCCAAAGUGGAGAACUCGGCCGCAGAAUCUGUGGUAGCGGGGACUGCAAUCGAGUGCUCCCCUG